UAAAGUUUCGACAGUGGAUGUCUUGGCUCCCAUACCGAUGAAGAACGCAGCAAAGUGCGAUAAUUCUGGCGAAUUGCAGACUGUGAGUCAUAAAAUUUCGAACGCAUCU
RNAcentral lists this ribosomal RNA (109 nucleotides) under Aspidisca aculeata. RNAcentral's name for it is "5.8S ribosomal RNA". It matches the Rfam family "5.8S ribosomal RNA", at positions 1 to 111 of the family's 154-position model. Rfam says of the family: 5.8S ribosomal RNA (5.8S rRNA) is a component of the large subunit of the eukaryotic ribosome. The record is from RNAcentral. Lineage: Eukaryota; Ciliophora; Spirotrichea; Euplotida; Aspidiscidae.